This 195-nucleotide long non-coding RNA is filed under the name Phascolarctos cinereus (koala). RNAcentral's name for it is "lncRNA (ENSPCIG00000028096.2)". Lineage: Eukaryota; Metazoa; Chordata; Mammalia; Diprotodontia; Phascolarctidae. The record is from RNAcentral.
AUGGCCAGGAGAGCAGCCAGCGAGUUGCAAGGUUGUAAGAUGACAUGGGUCUUUGCUCAUCUUUGGGAUCUACAUUCUGAUGGAGAAGAGGAUUCAGAUCUCAAUACAAAAACCAAUAGCCAUUUCAAUCCCUACCCCUUUUUUCUCCAAGGUUUGCAUUUGAUAGAAAAUUAAAUUUAAAAUUUGGCCAGAAAU